RNAcentral lists this ribosomal RNA (301 nucleotides) under uncultured bacterium. Its description in RNAcentral is "partial 16S ribosomal RNA". It matches the Rfam family "Bacterial small subunit ribosomal RNA", at positions 509 to 807 of the family's 1533-position model. The record is from RNAcentral.
CAGCCGCCGCGGUAAUACGAAGGGGGCUAGCGUUGCUCGGAAUGACUAGGCGUAAAGGGCGCGUAGGCGGAUUGUUUAGUUAGGCGUGAAAUUCCUGGGCUUAACCUGGGGACUGCGCUUAAUACAGGCAGUCUAGAGUGAGGAAGAGGGUUGUGGAAUUCCCAGUGUAGAGGUGAAAUUCGUAGAUAUUGGGAAGAACACCGGUGGCGAAGGCGGCAACCUGGUCCUUGACUGACGCUGAGGCGCGAAAGCGUGGGGAGCAAACAGGAUUAGAUACCCGGGUAGUCCCUGUCUCUUAUAC